AGUCACUGACAUUAGAUACCCCCGUAGUCCAGGGUGUAAACGCUGCAGACUUGGUGUUGGGAACCCUUCGGGGGUGCUCAGUGCCGGAGAGAAGUUGUUAAGUCUGCUACUUGGGGAGUACGUCCGCAAGGAUGAAACUUAAAGGAAUUGGCGGGGGAGCACCGCAACGGGAGGAGCGUGCGGUUUAAUUGGAUUCAACGACCGAAAAACUCACCAGCAGCGACUGUUACAUGAAAGUCAGGUUGAUGACCUUACUAGAUUUUCAG
Molecule: ribosomal RNA, 266 nt
Filed under: uncultured archaeon
Lineage: Archaea
Description: partial 16S ribosomal RNA
Rfam family: Archaeal small subunit ribosomal RNA
Source: RNAcentral